UUUUUAAUUGUAAAUUUCCUGGAAUCCAGCGGGGAGCACGUUUUUUAAGAAAUUCCGGUUAUUGACAUUGUUGAAUCGAAAACAAUGCGUGACAUAUGCGCACGGUCGGAACAAUUAAAUUGCAUUAACAUGGGUAUACUGAUGGAUUUUUUUAAAGCCUGGUUUCCAUAUGAUCGUAAUAGUCGUAAAAAUAGAGUCACGAUCUUUCUCCGCGGCCAGUUUAUAAUAGUUUAUACCUGUAAACCACAUGUAUAUAAAUCUUAAACUCAUUAAGAGGCAAGUUUUUCCAAUGUCACAUAUUUGCAAUGAAAAAUGUACAAAACCUAAAAUCUUUUUGGCGUUCAUCUCAAAAUUACUUUGUUUUAGCUUUAUUCUCUAGUUUAUAGAGUUAGCAACCUUUUUAAAUGCAUCUGCCAGUUGAGAAACAUAAAAUAAUAGUUAAAAAUUGUCAAUUAAAGUACAAAUAUCAAUGAUGCUUUAAAAUUGACGCCAUAUUUAUAGCCAUAUAAGCAAAACUUACUGAACUUCAGGCGUCAUUUUCUCUUUGGCGUAUCAUCUAAAAUAUCUUCUUUUAGCAUUAUUUUACAGAUAAAGCACUAAACAUACUUUUUAAGUCUGUUUGCCGAUUGAGAAACGUAUCGAAAAAUAAAAAUUUUGAAUUUAGUCAUAACCUCAAGCGAUAUAUUAUACGCUUU
Non-coding RNA from Paramuricea clavata, 695 nucleotides. NCBI's taxonomy places the organism in Eukaryota, Metazoa, Cnidaria, Anthozoa, Malacalcyonacea, Plexauridae. The record is from the annotation of a GenBank genome assembly.